RNAcentral lists this transfer RNA (73 nucleotides) under Apaloderma vittatum (bar-tailed trogon). It matches the Rfam family "tRNA". Rfam says of the family: Transfer RNA (tRNA) molecules are approximately 80 nucleotides in length. Lineage: Eukaryota; Metazoa; Chordata; Aves; Trogoniformes; Trogonidae. The record is from Rfam by way of RNAcentral.
GGCCGGUUAGCUCAGUCAGUUGAGCAUGACGCUAAUAACACCAAGGUCGUGGGUUCGUUUCCCAUUCAGUCCC